RNAcentral lists this ribosomal RNA (497 nucleotides) under uncultured bacterium. RNAcentral describes it as "partial 16S ribosomal RNA". It matches the Rfam family "Bacterial small subunit ribosomal RNA", at positions 28 to 507 of the family's 1533-position model. The record is from RNAcentral.
GACGAACGCUGGCGGCGUGCCUAAUACAUGCAAGUUGAGCGCUGAAGGUUGGUACUUGUACCAACUGGAUGAGCAGCGAACGGGUGAGUAACGCGUGGGGAAUCUGCCUUUGAGCGGGGGACAACAUUUGGAAACGAAUGCUAAUACCGCAUAAAAACUUUAAACACAAGUUUUAAGUUUGAAAGAUGCAAUUGCAUCACUCAAAGAUGAUCCCGCGUUGUAUUAGCUAGUUGGUGAGGUAAAGGCUCACCAAGGCGAUGAUACAUAGCCGACCUGGGAGGGUGGUCGGCCACAUUGGGACUGAGACACGGCCCCAACUCCUACGGGAGGCAGCAGUAGGGAAUCUUCGGCAAUGGACGAAAGUCUGACCGAGCAACGCCGCGUGAGUGAAGAAGGUUUUCGGAUCGUAAAACUCUGUUGGUAGAGAAGAACGUUGGUGAGAGUGGAAAGCUCAUCAAGUGACGGUACCUACCCAGAAAGGGACGGCUAACUACGUG